Molecule: ribosomal RNA, 540 nt
Filed under: Blastocatellia bacterium
Lineage: Bacteria; Pseudomonadati; Acidobacteriota; Blastocatellia
Description: bacterial SSU rRNA
Rfam family: Bacterial small subunit ribosomal RNA
Source: RNAcentral
GAGAGUUUGAUCCUGGCUCAGAAUCAACGCUGGCGGCGUGCCUCAGACAUGCAAGUCGAACGCGAAAGUUUCCUUCGGGAAACAAGUAGAGUGGCGCACGGGUGAGUAACACGUAGGUAAUCUACCUUCGGAUGGGGAAUAACAACCGGAAACGGUUGCUAAUACCGCAUAAUGCAGCGGCACCUAAUGGUGACAGUUGUUAAAGCGGGGGAUCGAAAGACCUCGCGUCUGAAGAGGAGCCUGCGGCGGAUUAGCUAGUUGGUAAGGUAACGGCUUACCAAGGCGACGAUCCGUAGCCGGCCUGAGAGGGCGGUCGGCCACACUGACACUGACAUACGGGUCAGACUCCUACGGGAGGCAGCAGUCGGGAAUUUUGGGCAAUGGGCGAAAGCCUGACCCAGCAACGCCGCGUGAAGGAUGAAAUCCCUCGGGAUGUAAACUUCGCAAGAACGGGAAGAAUAAGUAGGGGACAAUACCCCCUAUGAUGACGGUACCGUUUGUAAGCUCCGGCUAACUCCGUGCCAGCAGCCGCGGUAAUAC